AUCGUUAUAAUAAUAAUAAUAAUAAUAAUAAUAAUAAUAAAAUCAAAUCUAUGUAUAAGAAUAUAAAGGAUCACAAUUCUGAAAUCAAAUCAGUGGAAAACAAAAUAAGAUUUGAUUUUCUUUUCUUUUUUUUUUUAGUUUCUUGGCCUCUUAUUGGCUUAUUGAGAGACCAAAGAGAAUGUGUUGUGUCUUAAAACUAGAUAGAUGAACAAAGAGACGUGGUUUUUUGGGCUGUGAGAAGAGUGGUUAUGGAAGGAGAAGAAAUAAAAAUGUGGGGAAAUUGAAAUUCUGAGGAGCUUGUG
RNAcentral lists this long non-coding RNA (302 nucleotides) under Arachis ipaensis. Its description in RNAcentral is "long non-coding RNA (AIPA_LNC001547)". The record is from RNAcentral. Lineage: Eukaryota; Viridiplantae; Streptophyta; Magnoliopsida; Fabales; Fabaceae.